UUAAAAUUAGUUAAAGCUAUAACGCAGGUUUGUCAGGCCUGAAUUAUUAAAUUAUAAUAUUUUAAA
RNAcentral lists this transfer RNA (66 nucleotides) under Palaemon serenus. RNAcentral describes it as "tRNA-Asp". The record is from RNAcentral. Lineage: Eukaryota; Metazoa; Arthropoda; Malacostraca; Decapoda; Palaemonidae.